GGAUGAACGCUGGCGGCGUGCCUAAUACAUGCAAGUCGAGCGAACGGACGAGACGCUUGCUUCUCUGAUGUUAGCGGCGGACGGGUGAGUAACACGUGGAUAACCUACCUAUAAGACUGGGAUAACUUCGGGAAACCGGAGCUAAUACCGGAUAAUAUUUUGAACCGCAUGGUUCAAAGGUGAAAGACGGUCUUGCUGUCACUUAUAGAUGGAUCCGCGCUGCAUUAGCUAGUUGGUAAGGUAACGGCUUACCAAGGCAACGAUGCAUAGCCGACCUGAGAGGGUGAUCGGCCACACUGGAACUGAGACACGGUCCAGACUCCUACGGGAGGCAGCAGUAGGGAAUCUUCCGCAAUGGGCGAAAGCCUGACGGAGCAACGCCGCGUGAGUGAUGAAGGUCUUCGGAUCGUAAAACUCUGUUAUUAGGGAAGAACAUAUGUGUAAGUAACUGUGCACAUCUUGACGGUACCUAAUCAGAAAGCCACGGCUAACUACGUG
RNAcentral lists this ribosomal RNA (498 nucleotides) under uncultured bacterium. Its description in RNAcentral is "partial 16S ribosomal RNA". It matches the Rfam family "Bacterial small subunit ribosomal RNA", at positions 27 to 507 of the family's 1533-position model. The record is from RNAcentral.